UAACAACUCUGAUUGGCUAAUUCCUCAUAAACAAACAAACAAACAAACAAAUAAAUAAAUAACAAGUAUGUGGUCUUUUCAGCAAGAUUGUUGAUGUAAGUGAACUAAGGUCCAUUCACACAGCCUUUCAGCUGCCUGGCUGCUGCACUGUCCUUUGCUGUAUUUCAGGUGCUUGCCCUCCUUUCCCUUUAACAAUCUGCAUCUGAGAAUGAAGGAAAGAAAUCCUGAUGAUCUGUGACAUGUUUCUAUCCCACAGGACCAAACAACAUUCCCUGACCUUCCCUUAGCUAUGCCUCACCUCGACCAGAACAUUCUGCAGUACAGAUCUUUAAUGUCAGAGAUUCAGAAGCACAUGGGGUUGCUUUAUCGAAUGCAGAACAGUUUACCUCACCGAGCUCAAGAGUUUCAAUUCUGCUCCUCAGGGCUGCCGUAAUGAGUUUGGAGGCGAUCGAGUACUUUCUCAGAGAACCAGGGUUUUUGGUGAACAAAAGCUAAAACGAUGUGAAAUCACGGAAGAAGAGGUGGUCUUCACAGCUGGAGGAACACUCAGGCAGCCUGUUCUCAUGGAUCCUCAUAAACCCUGGGUGGAGGUGAUUCUUUCGUCCAUGGUCACAGCUGUUCCUCUUUGCUGUUUGAUGAUGGAGACUGAUUGGUCUGGCUGAGUUUCACAGGCUUCUGUGGCUGUUUAACCCACGAUCGGCCGCCCGGGAGCUGCUGUGCAGAUGGCUGAUUAGGGAAACUUUCUGUGAUGUUCUGUAUUUCUGUGUAAGAAGGAAAUGGCCGUCGUGUGAUCCUCAUAACAAAGUCUCCUUUUUCUUGGCCUUUUUUCUAUCCUCUCUCUGUUUCUUGAAGGACACUCAAGUAGCUCCUGCCUUUAAAAAAAUAGUAUAAUAUUUUGCUCCAAACAUGCCCUGAAGUGUUUACAUAAAAAAAGUUAAUUUCUUCAUGUUCUAAUAAAUUGUUUAACAUUUUAAGUUGUAUAAAUUAACCUGAACAAACAUGAAAUAACAACAGUGUAUUUAUAAAUUAACAUUAACCUAGAUUAUUAAAUGUUGUUCUGAAAGUUUGUUAUCUAAUGAAUUAACUUAUCUUUAUUAUUAUUAGUAUUAUUAUUAUUAUUAUAGUAUUGUUGACAUUGGAAACAAUAUUACAUAUUAUUUUAAGCUAAUAAUCCAACAUAAUUCUCUAAAUUUAGUUAUAUUUAUAGUGGCAAAUUGCAG
Molecule: long non-coding RNA, 1220 nt
Organism: Cyprinus carpio carpio
Lineage: Eukaryota; Metazoa; Chordata; Actinopteri; Cypriniformes; Cyprinidae
Source: Ensembl